This 253-nucleotide ribosomal RNA is filed under the name uncultured bacterium. RNAcentral's name for it is "partial 16S ribosomal RNA". It matches the Rfam family "Bacterial small subunit ribosomal RNA", at positions 524 to 776 of the family's 1533-position model. The record is from RNAcentral.
UACGUAGGUGACCAGCGUUGUCCGGAAUCAUUGGGCGUAAAGAGCGCGUAGGCGGUCCGGUAAGUCCGCUCUGAAAGUCCGGGGCUCAACCCCGGGAGGCGGGCGGAUACUGUCGGGCUAGAGUCCGGAAGAGGCGAGUGGAAUUCCUGGUGUAGCGGUGAAAUGCGCAGAUAUCAGGAGGAACACCAAUGGCGAAGGCAGCUCGCUGGGACGGUACUGACGCUGAGGCGCGAAAGCGUGGGGAGCAAACAGG